RNAcentral lists this ribosomal RNA (429 nucleotides) under Chloroflexota bacterium. RNAcentral describes it as "Chloroflexi bacterium partial 16S ribosomal RNA". It matches the Rfam family "Bacterial small subunit ribosomal RNA", at positions 355 to 776 of the family's 1533-position model. Lineage: Bacteria; Bacillati; Chloroflexota. The record is from RNAcentral.
UGGUGAAUAUUGCACAAUGGUCGCAAGCCUGAUGCAGCCAUGCCGCGCGUGUGAAGAAGGCCUUCGGGUUGUAAAGCACUUUCAGCGGGGAGGAAGGCGUUAAGGUUAAUAACCUUGGCGAUUGACGUUACCCGCAGAAGAAGCACCGGCUAACUCCGUGCCAGCAGCCGCGGUAAUACGGAGGGUGCAAGCGUUAAUCGGAAUUACUGGGCGUAAAGCGCACGCAGGCGGUUGAUUGAGUCAGAUGUGAAAUCCCCGGGCUUAACCCGGGAAUUGCAUCUGAUACUGGUCAGCUAGAGUCUUGUAGAGGGGGGUAGAAUUCCAUGUGUAGCGGUGAAAUGCGUAGAGAUGUGGAGGAAUACCGGUGGCGAAGGCGGCCCCCUGGACAAAGACUGACGCUCAGGUGCGAAAGCGUGGGGAGCAAACAGG